UCAUGGUGGACCUUCCCUCCUCAGC
Molecule: non-coding RNA, 25 nt
Filed under: Rattus norvegicus (Norway rat)
Lineage: Eukaryota; Metazoa; Chordata; Mammalia; Rodentia; Muridae
Source: RNAcentral